AAAACAUAACCUUUAGACUAACCAAUAUUAAAGGCAACGCCUGCCCAGUGAACAUUAAACGGCCGCGGUACCCUAACCGUGCAAAGGUAGCAUAAUCAUUUGUCUACUAAUUAUAGACCUGUAUGAAAGGCAAAAUGAAAGUCUGACUGUCUCUUAUAAUAAACCAAUUAAACUGAUCUCCUAGUAAAAAAGCUAGAAUUAAACCAUAAGACCAGAAGACCCUGUGAAGCUUAAACUACACUAUUAAACCCAGUAAUAACUACUUUCGGUUGGGGCGACCUUGGAAAAAAAAAGAACUUCCAACAAUACGACCUACCUCGUACCACUCACACAGGCCCACAAGCCAACUAAUGACCCAGCAAAGCUGAUAAUUGAACCAAGUUACUCCAGGGAUAACAGCGCAAUCCUCUUCAAGAGCCCAUAUCAAAAAGAGGGUUUACGACCUCGAUGUUGGAUCAGGACAUCCUAAUGGUGCAGACGCUAUUAAGGGUUCGUUUGUUCAACGAUCAACAGUCCUACGUG
RNAcentral lists this ribosomal RNA (522 nucleotides) under Oligodon lacroixi. RNAcentral describes it as "partial large subunit ribosomal RNA". It matches the Rfam family "Bacterial large subunit ribosomal RNA", at positions 1810 to 2602 of the family's 2925-position model. Lineage: Eukaryota; Metazoa; Chordata; Lepidosauria; Squamata; Colubridae. The record is from RNAcentral.